RNAcentral lists this ribosomal RNA (93 nucleotides) under Rhodococcus sp. NCIMB 12038. RNAcentral describes it as "partial 16S ribosomal RNA". It matches the Rfam family "Bacterial small subunit ribosomal RNA", at positions 1 to 95 of the family's 1533-position model. Lineage: Bacteria; Bacillati; Actinomycetota; Actinomycetes; Mycobacteriales; Nocardiaceae. The record is from RNAcentral.
UUCAACGGAGAGUUUGAUCCUGGCUCAGGACGAACGCUGGCGGCGUGCUUAACACAUGCAAGUCGAGCGGUAAGGCCCUUCGGGGUACACGAG